Molecule: ribosomal RNA, 497 nt
Filed under: uncultured bacterium
Lineage: Bacteria
Description: partial 16S ribosomal RNA
Rfam family: Bacterial small subunit ribosomal RNA
Source: RNAcentral
GAUGAACGCUGGCGGCGUGCCUAAUACAUGCAAGUCGAGCGAACGGACGAGAAGCUUGCUUCUCUGAUGUUAGCGGCGGACGGGUGAGUAACACGUGUAUAACCUACCUAUAAGACUGGGAUAACUUCGGGAAACCGUAGCUAAUACCGGAUAAUAUUUUGAACCGCAUGGUUCAAAAGUGAAAGACGGUCUUGCUGUCACUUAUAGAUGGAUCCGCGCUGCAUUAGCUAGUUGGUAAGGUAACGGCUUACCAAGGCAACGAUGCAUAGCCGACCUGAGAGGGUGAUCGGCCACACUGGAACUGAGCCACGGUCCAGACUCCUACGGGAGGCAGCAGUAGGGAAUCUUCCGCAAUGGGCGAAAGCCUGACGGAGCAACGCCGCGUGAGUUAUGAAGGUCUUCGGAUCGUAAAACUCUGUUAUUAGGGAAGAACAUAUGUGUAAGUAACUGUGCACAUCUUGACGGUACCUAAUCAGAAAGCCACGGCUAACUACGUG